RNAcentral lists this unclassified non-coding RNA (279 nucleotides) under plant metagenome. RNAcentral describes it as "partial contains small subunit ribosomal RNA, internal transcribed spacer 1, and 5.8S ribosomal RNA". The record is from RNAcentral.
UUUCCGUAGGUGAACCUGCGGAAGGAUCAUUACCGAGUGAGGGUCUCCCAAGCCCGUCCGCAAAUACUUUGUUGAAUUACCAGGUUAUUUUCGCGGGCCCGUUUAAAGACCGCCGCAAGUCCUUGGACUUCUAGCCUGAUGCUGCCGAUAGCCUUUUCCGAACUAUUCAAACAAAUUAAUCUAAACGUACUACAUCUAAUAGCUAAAACUUUCAACAACGGAAGUCUUGGUUCUAGCACCGAUGAAGAACGCUGCAGACCGGAAGAGCACACGUAUGAA